This 834-nucleotide ribosomal RNA is filed under the name Drosophila melanogaster (fruit fly). Lineage: Eukaryota; Metazoa; Arthropoda; Insecta; Diptera; Drosophilidae. The record is from RNAcentral.
UAAUAUAAACAAUUUAAAGAAUUUUAUCAAGAGUAGCCAAACACCUCGUCAUCAAUUAAGUGACGCAUAUGAUAUUGUCCCUAUCAUAUAAUUAAUAUAAAGAAUUUAAAGAAUUUUAUCAAGAGUAUCCAAACACCUCGUCAUCAAUUUAGUGACGCAUAUGAUAGUGUCCCUAUCAUAUAAUUAAUAUAAAGAAUUUAAAGAAUUUUCUCAAAAGUAGCCAAACACCUCGUCAUCAAUUUAGCGACGCAUAUGAUAUUGUCCCUAUCAUAUAAUUAAUAUAAACAAUUUAAAGAAUUUUAUCAAGAGUAGCCAAACACCUCGUCAUCAAUUUAGUGACGCAUAUGAUAUUGUCCCUAUUAUAUAAUCAAUAUAAUAACUUUAAAGAAUUUUAUCAAGAGUAGCCAAACACCUCGUCAUUAAUUACUAUAAUAGGUAGGCAGUGGUUGCCGACCUCUCAUAUUGUUCAAAACGUAUGUAUUCAUAUGAUUUUGGCAAUUAUAUGAGUAAAUUAAAUCAUAUACAUAUGAAAAUGAAUAUUUAUUAUAUGUAUAAGUAUUAUAGAGAAAAGCCAUUUUAGUGAAUGGAUAUAGUAGUGUAAGCUAGCUGUUCUACGACAGAGGGUUCAAAAACUACUAUAGGUAGGCAGUGGUUGCCGACCUCGCAUUGUUCGAAAUAUAUAUUUCGUAUUAUGAUUAUAUUGGUUACUUAUAAUAAAGUAUAUUAUUAUCCGUACAAAUUUGUUUCUCAGUUCUUUUUGAACACGGGACUUGGCUCCGCGGAUAAUAGGAAUAUACCGCUAUUUUAGAUAAUAUCGUUGAAACAAAAGUCAAG